AUUGAACGCUGGCGGCAUGCUUUACACAUGCAAGUCGAACGGUAACAGGCCUUCGGGUGCUGACGAGUGGCGCACGGGUGAGUAAUGCAUCGGAACGUGCCCAGAGGUGGGGGUUAACGCAGCGAAAGCUGUGCUAAUACCGCAUGUGAUCUGAGGAUGAAAGCGGGGGACCAAGCAGCAAUGUUUGGCCUCGCGCCUCUGGAGCGGCCGAUGUCAGAUUAGGUAGUUGGUGGGGUAAAGGCCUACCAAGCCGACGAUCUGUAGCUGGUCUGAGAGGACGACCGGCCAGACGGGGACUGAGACACGGCCCAGACUCCUACGGGAGGCAGCAGUGGGGAAUGUUGGACAAUGGGCGCAAGCCUGAUCCAGCAAUGCCGCGUGCGGGAAGAAGGCCUUCGGGUUGUAAACCGCUUUUGUAAGGAAAGAAAAGGCUCUGGGUAAUACCUGGGGCUGAUGACGGUACCGUAAGAAUAAGCACCGGCUAACUACGUG
RNAcentral lists this ribosomal RNA (492 nucleotides) under uncultured bacterium. RNAcentral's name for it is "partial 16S ribosomal RNA". It matches the Rfam family "Bacterial small subunit ribosomal RNA", at positions 29 to 507 of the family's 1533-position model. The record is from RNAcentral.